UACGUAGGGCGCAAGCGUUGUCCGGAAUUAUUGGGCGUAAAGAGCUCGUAGGCGGUCUGUCGCGUCGGAUGUGAAAGCCCGGGGCUUAACCCCGUGCCUGCUUCCGAUACGGGCAGACUAGAGGUAUGCAGGGGAGAACGGAAUUCCUGGUGUAGCGGUGAAAUGCGCAGAUAUCAGGAGGAACACCAAUGGCGAAGGCAGCUCGCUGGGACGGUACUGACGCUGAGGCGCGAAAGCGUGGGGAGCAAACAGG
RNAcentral lists this ribosomal RNA (253 nucleotides) under uncultured bacterium. Its description in RNAcentral is "partial 16S ribosomal RNA". It matches the Rfam family "Bacterial small subunit ribosomal RNA", at positions 524 to 776 of the family's 1533-position model. The record is from RNAcentral.